UUUUACCCGGUGGAAACUAAGCAUAUCAAUAAGCGGAGGAAAAGAAACUAACAAGGAUUCCCCUAGUAACUGCGAGUGAAGCGGGAAAAGCUCAAAUUUAAAAUCUGGCAGUCUUUGGCUGUCCGAGUUGUAAUCUAGAGAAGCAUUAUCCGCGCUGGACCGUGUACAAGUCUCCUGGAAUGGAGCGUCAUAGAGGGUGAGAAUCCCGUCUUUGACACGGACUACCAGGGCUUUGUGAUGUGCUCUCAAAGAGUCGAGUUGUUUGGGAAUGCAGCUCAAAAUGGGUGGUAAAUUCCAUCUAAAGCUAAAUAUUGGCGAGAGACCGAUAGCGAACAAGUACCGUGAGGGAAAGAUGAAAAGAACUUUGGAAAGAGAGUUAAACAGUACGUGAAAUUGCUGAAAGGGAAACGCUUGAAGUCAGUCGCGUUGUCCAGGGAUCAACUCUUGCUUUUGCUUGGUGUACUUUCUGGUUAACGGGUCAGCAUCAAUUUUGACCAUUGGAAAAAGAUUAAGGGAAUGUGGCAUCUUUUAGAUGUGUUAUAGCCCUUGGUUGUAUACAUUGGUUGGGAUUGAGGAACUCAGCACGCCGCAAGGCCGAGUUUUUUUUAACUACGUACGUGCUUAGGAUGCUGGCAUAAUGGCUUUAAUCGACCCGUCUUGAAACACGGACCAAGGAGUCUAACAUGCCUGCGAGUAUUUGGGUGGAAAACCCGAGUGCGUAAUGAAAGUGAAAGUUGAGAUCCCUGUCAUGGGGAGCAUCGACGCCUGGACCUGACCUUUUGUGACGGUUCCACGGUAGAGCAUGUAUGUUGGGACCCGAAAGAUGGUGAACUAUGCCUGAAUAGGGUGAAGCCAGAGGAAACUCUGGUGGAGGCUCGUAGCGAUUCUGACGUGCAAAUCGAUCGUCAAAUUUGGGUAUAGGGGCGAAAGACUAAUCGAACC
This 942-nucleotide ribosomal RNA is filed under the name Calonarius caesiofulvus. RNAcentral describes it as "partial large subunit ribosomal RNA". It matches the Rfam family "Eukaryotic large subunit ribosomal RNA", at positions 21 to 941 of the family's 3401-position model. The record is from RNAcentral. Lineage: Eukaryota; Fungi; Basidiomycota; Agaricomycetes; Agaricales; Cortinariaceae.